RNAcentral lists this ribosomal RNA (1408 nucleotides) under uncultured bacterium. RNAcentral's name for it is "bacterial SSU rRNA". It matches the Rfam family "Bacterial small subunit ribosomal RNA". The record is from RNAcentral.
AGAGUUUGAUCCUGGCUCAGGACGAACGCUGGCGGCGUGCCUAAUACAUGCAAGUAGAACGCUGAAGAGAGGAGCUUGCUCUUCUUGGAUGAGUUGCGAACGGGUGAGUAACGCGUAGGUAACCUGCCUUGUAGCGGGGGAUAACUAUUGGAAACGAUAGCUAAUACCGCAUAACAAUGGAUGACACAUGUCAUUUAUUUGAAAGGGGCAAUUGCUCCACUACAAGAUGGACCUGCGUUGUAUUAGCUAGUAGGUGAGGUAAUGGCUCACCUAGGCGACGAUACAUAGCCGACCUGAGAGGGUGAUCGGCCACACUGGGACUGAGACACGGCCCAGACUCCUACGGGAGGCAGCAGUAGGGAAUCUUCGGCAAUGGGGGCAACCCUGACCGAGCAACGCCGCGUGAGUGAAGAAGGUUUUCGGAUCGUGAAGCUCUGUUGUAAGUCAAGAACGGGUGUGAGAGUGGAAAGUUCACACUGUGACGGUAGCUUAUCAGAAAGGGACGGCUAACUACGUGCCAGCAGCCGCGGUAAUACGUAGGUCCCGAGCGUUGUCCGGAUUUAUUGGGCGUAAAGCGAGCGCAGGCGGUUUGAUAAGUCUGAAGUUAAAGGCUGUGGCUCAACCAUAGUUCGCUUUGGAAACUGUCAAACUUGAGUGCAGAAGGGGAGAGUGGAAUUCCAUGUGUAGCGGUGAAAUGCGUAGAUAUAUGGAGGAACACCGGUGGCGAAAGCGGCUCUCUGGUCUGUAACUGACGCUGAGGCUCGAAAGCGUGGGGAGCGAACAGGAUUAGAUACCCUGGUAGUCCACGCCGUAAACGAUGAGUGCUAGGUGUUGGAUCCUUUCCGGGAUUCAGUGCCGCAGCUAACGCAUUAAGCACUCCGCCUGGGGAGUACGACCGCAAGGUUGAAACUCAAAGGAAUUGACGGGGGCCCGCACAAGCGGUGGAGCAUGUGGUUUAAUUCGAAGCAACGCGAAGAACCUUACCAGGUCUUGACAUCCCGAUGCUAUUUCUAGAGAUAGAAAGUUACUUCGGUACAUCGGUGACAGGUGGUGCAUGGUUGUCGUCAGCUCGUGUCGUGAGAUGUUGGGUUAAGUCCCGCAACGAGCGCAACCCCUAUUGUUAGUUGCCAUCAUUCAGUUGGGCACUCUAGCGAGACUGCCGGUAAUAAACCGGAGGAAGGUGGGGAUGACGUCAAAUCAUCAUGCCCCUUAUGACCUGGGCUACACACGUGCUACAAUGGUUGGUACAACGAGUUGCGAGUCGGUGACGGCGAGCUAAUCUCUUAAAGCCAAUCUCAGUUCGGAUUGUAGGCUGCAACUCGCCUACAUGAAGUCGGAAUCGCUAGUAAUACGCGGAUCAGCACGCCGCGGUGAAUACGUUCCCGGGCCCUAACGGACCGCCCGUCAA